GCUCAUUGGACUUUUGUGGAUCUGUCUUCUCAAGGAAUGAAUGAACUUUUGUAUUGGAUUCCCUAGAGGAAAAUUGUUUCAUGGUGCAAUUCAAAUAAUGAGGUUCCACGAAGGAGCUUGUGAAGCAAUUAAAAAGCAUUGUGGUAGUGGCAGAAUUCUCAACAGUGAAACUAGAGUGUGCCUGGUGUGCAGGGAAAGCCCAGUCUUGCAAUCCAUGGGGUUUUGGGAUGGCUACACUUCUUAAGUUUAUGUUCUGAGCAAACCAGAAACGUGAUGCCAUGUUGUGAUCCAUUUGGCUACUGCAAAACUGACAUGUACCCAAGGACUGGAUUUCAUCAAAGUUGUUCAAUAGAAAAUUCAAGUCAAAAUGUGAAAUCAUUCAGUCCCUUACCUACCCAGUAAAUUAUCAAAAAAAGCAUACAACUGAACUUUUAUAAAUUCUUUUUUUUUUUUUUUAAUUCAUGAAGGUACAUUACUUUAUGCCAUAUGUUAUAACAGCAUAGUCUUGCUUUACCUAAGACUACGAGUGCCUGCAUGGAGAACACCAUAGAGCUCCAGUUCCUGGGGCAGAAGCGAGUUGGAAGGAAAAUCAGCAACAAAGGAUGUAACAACAGCUUGUGCAUUGAGGAGAUGGUCUUGUGGAACACUCGUGCAGCUGUGCCCCAUUUCUCGCACAGCUGCCGUCACGUGCUGCAUCCACCACAUUUUCAAAUGGCAGGAGUUGCUCUUGGACACUGGAUGACGAGAACACGAAUCCAGCUCUGUGCUAGCCCUUUGGCAGUGCUGCAGCACGGCGAGCUCUGUUCUGUGGGGAAGGUAGCUUUUGAAGUAACCUCCUCGCUUUGGCGGCUCUUGAAGGGGCGUCUGAGGGAGGUGCCUGCUUGUUCUGGUGGGAGGUUUGUUCCAGCAGAGGCGAGCGUCCCUGGAGAUGUCGUCAGCAGAGACUGCCAGCCACCCCCCGAGGCAAAGGCAGCUGCAGCUGUGGUGGUGACUGAGAAAACCCUUCAGACUCACUGA
RNAcentral lists this long non-coding RNA (1017 nucleotides) under Junco hyemalis (dark-eyed junco). RNAcentral's name for it is "lncRNA (ENSJHYG00000007876.1)". Lineage: Eukaryota; Metazoa; Chordata; Aves; Passeriformes; Passerellidae. The record is from RNAcentral.